Molecule: long non-coding RNA, 315 nt
Organism: Tachysurus fulvidraco (yellow catfish)
Lineage: Eukaryota; Metazoa; Chordata; Actinopteri; Siluriformes; Bagridae
Exons: 2
Source: RefSeq, a predicted model, not a curated record
UCCUGUAAGGACUUUAAUAUUUAUAUGUGUGCUUUAAAUAUUUUUGAUAAAUAUUCCUCUAUAAAAAUUUAAAGUUUAUAAUUACUUUAUCUACUUAAUUUGUAAAAAUAUAUGGUUCGUUUUAUGCGAUGUCACUUCCGGUUUUGCUACUUCCGGUUUCGCCACUUCCGGUUAGCGCUCAGUGCUCAAUCUUGCAAUGAAACCGGCAUGGCGUGCUCUUUAUAGUAUCCAGCGCAUCCACUAAAAACAUCAUAGAGGCAAUGCCUUUUCACCGUACAAUGUAAAUGAGAGAGUGACAGUAAAGGGUAAAUCUUA